CUUGCUAGCCAGAUACUGACAUUGAGGCACGAAAGCGUGGGGAGCAAACAGGAUUAGAUACCCUGGUAGUCCACGCCCUAAACGAUGAGUACUAAGUGUUGGUUUAAGAUCAGUGCUGAAGUUAACGCAUUAAGUACUCCGCCUGAGUAGUACGUACGCAAGUAUGAAACUUAAAGGAAUUGACGGGAGCCCGCACAAGCGGUGGAGCAUGUUGUUUAAUUCGACGAUACGCGAAGAACCUUACCAGGUCUUGACAUCCGGUUGUUAGAUAUAGAGAUAUAUUGAGAUUGGCCGAGACAGGUGGUGCAUGGUUGUCGUCAGCUCGUGUCGUGAGAUGUUGGGUUAAGUCCCGCAACGAGCGCAACCCUUAUUUCUAGUUACCAUCAUCCAGUUGGGGACUCUAGAGAGACUGCCAGUGAUAAAUUGGAGGAAGGUGGGGAUGACGUCAAAUCAUCAUGCCCUUUAUGACCUGGGCUACAAACGUGCUACAAUGGCUGAAACAAAGAGAAGCAAAAUCGCGAGAUGGAGCAAACCUCAUAAAAGCAGUCUCAGUUCGGAUUGAAGUCUGCAACUCGACUUCAUGAAGUUGGAAUCGCUAGUA
RNAcentral lists this ribosomal RNA (601 nucleotides) under uncultured bacterium. Its description in RNAcentral is "bacterial SSU rRNA". It matches the Rfam family "Bacterial small subunit ribosomal RNA", at positions 725 to 1340 of the family's 1533-position model. The record is from RNAcentral.